This 301-nucleotide ribosomal RNA is filed under the name uncultured bacterium. RNAcentral's name for it is "partial 16S ribosomal RNA". It matches the Rfam family "Bacterial small subunit ribosomal RNA", at positions 509 to 809 of the family's 1533-position model. The record is from RNAcentral.
CAGUAGCCGCGGGAAUACGUAGGUGGCAAGCGUUGUCCGGAAUUAUUGGGCGUAAAGCGCGCGCAGGCGGAUAGGUCAGUCUGUCUUAAAAGUUCGGGGCUUAACCCCGUGAUGGGAUGGAAACUGCCAAUCUUGAGUAUCGGAGAGGAAAGUGGAAUUCCUAGUGUAGCGGUGAAAUGCGUAGAUAUUAGGAAGAACACCAGUGGCGAAGGCGACUUUCUGGACGAAAACUGACGCUGAGGCGCGAAAGCCAGGGGGGCGAACGGAAUUAGAUACCCCCGUAGUCCCUGUCUCUUAUACA